Molecule: ribosomal RNA, 1001 nt
Filed under: Helminthosporium velutinum
Lineage: Eukaryota; Fungi; Ascomycota; Dothideomycetes; Pleosporales; Massarinaceae
Description: SSU rRNA
Rfam family: Eukaryotic small subunit ribosomal RNA
Source: RNAcentral
CUGCGAAUGGCUCAUUAAAUCAGUUAUCGUUUAUUUGAUAGUACCUUACUACUUGGAUACCUGUGGUAAUUCUAGAGCUAAUACAUGCUAAAAACCCCGACUUCGGAAGGGGUGUAUUUAUUAGAUAAAAAACCAAUGCCCUUCGGGGCUCCUUGGUGAUUCAUAAUAACUUCUCAGAUCGCAUGGCCUUGCGCCGGCGACGGUUCAUUCAAAUUUCUGCCCUAUCAACUUUCGAUGGUAAGGUAUUGGCUUACCAUGGUUUCUACGGGUAACGGGGAAUUAGGGUUCGAUUCCGGAGAGUUAGCCUGAGAAACGGCUAACACAUCCAAGGAAGGCAGCAGGCGCGCAAAUUACCCAAUCCUGAUACAGGGAGGUAGUGACAAUAAAUACUGAUACAGGGCUCUUUUGGGUCUUGUAAUCGGAAUGAGUACAAUUUAAACCUCUUAACGAGGAACAAUUGGAGGGCAAGUCUGGUGCCAGCAGCCGCGGUAAUUCCAGCUCCAAUAGCGUAUAUUAAAGUUGUUGCAGUUAAAAAGCUCGUAGUUGAACCUUUGGCCUGGCUGGCAGGUCCGCCUCACCGCGUGCACUUGUCCGGCCGGGCCUUUUCUUCUGGAGAACCGCAUGCCCUUCACUGGGUGUGUUGGGGACCAGGACUUUUACUUUGAAAAAAUUAGAGUGUUCAAAGCAGGCCUUUGCUCGAAUAUUACAGCAUGGAAUAAUAAAAUAGGACGUGCGGUUCUAUUUUGUUGGUUUCUAGGACCGCCGUAAUGAUUAAUAGGGACAGUCGGGGGCAUCAGUAUUCAAUUGUCAGAGGUGAAAUUCUUGGAUUUAUUGAAGACUAACUACUGCGAAAGCAUUUGCCAAGGAUGUUUUCAUUAAUCAGUGAACGAAAGUUAGGGGAUCGAAGACGAUCAGAUACCGUCGUAGUCUUAACCAUAAACUAUGCCGACUAGGGAUCGGGCGGUGUUAUUAUUUUGACUCGCUCGGCACCUUACGAGAAA